AAAUUUUAAUUUUUAGUGAUUGGAAUGAUGGGAAUCCAAACCCCUUUCAGAGUAACAAUUGGAGGGCAAGUCUGGUGCCAGCAGCCGCGGUAAUUCCAGCUCCAAUAGCGUAUAUUAAAGUUGUUGCAGUUAAAAAGCUCGUAGUUGGAUUUCUGCUGGAAGCAGCCAGUCCGCCCUUAGGGGUGUGUACGUGGUGAAAUUCCGGCAUCCUUCUGGUAGCGCUUCACACUUAACUGGGUGAAGUGUGUUUCCAGGACUUUUACUUUGA
RNAcentral lists this ribosomal RNA (268 nucleotides) under Cystoisospora sp. ex Vulpes lagopus. RNAcentral describes it as "partial 18S ribosomal RNA". It matches the Rfam family "Eukaryotic small subunit ribosomal RNA", at positions 490 to 760 of the family's 1831-position model. Lineage: Eukaryota; Apicomplexa; Conoidasida; Eucoccidiorida; Sarcocystidae. The record is from RNAcentral.